AUGGUGGGAAAUUUGCAAAGACUUGAAGGAUGCCGGGGAAGCCAGGAGGCAGAGAUGAGGAAGGAGACCAUUCCAGGCAAUGGAGACAGUCAUUGAACAUGGAACACCAUGCCUGUGCUAUUCUGGUUUUAGGUAGACUGAUGAUUCUUAGAUUAUUUCUCUUUGACAUAUCUUUCAGGUCAGUUUUUAGAUACAUUUACUUCUUACUUACUUACUUACUUACAUUUACUUCUGUUUUCUUUUAAUAUUUUUUUGCCUCACCUUCUCAGUGAUCUCAAUAGUUUCUAUACAUUCGGUUAUCUUCUCUGUGCAGAUAUCUUUGGUUUGUCAACCAAUUAAUGUUUAUUAAGCACCUAUUAUGUUCCAGGCACUGCUAAGCACUGGGUGUAUAAAGAAUGGUAAAAGAGAAACCCUGCUCUCAGGCCCAGAGCUUCCAGUCUAAUGGAGAAGAUAAUGACAAACAAUUAAUUAUAGCAUGUAAAAAUGAGCUUUAUACAGAAUAAGUUAGAAAUAAUCCAGAGAAGGAAGGUGCUAGAAUUAGGAGGAACCAGGAAAGGUUUCCUGAAAAGAUGGGAUUUUAUCUGGGACUGGAAGGAUGCCAGGGAAUCCAGGAGGGAGCUAUGAGGAAGGAAUGCAUUUCAGGCAUGGAGAAGUCAGUUACAAUGUCUGGAGUUAGAAGAUGAAUGCCUUGUGUGAGGAACUACAAGGAAGCCAGGGUCACUAGGUUUGCAGAGUAUGUGUGGGCUUGGGGUGUAAGGUUCAAGAAGCCUAGAAAGUUUGGGCAGGGGCUUGAUUAUGAAGGACUUUGAGGACCAAAGAGAGGUUUUGAUAUUUGACUCUGGGUGAUAGGGAGACCCUGGGGUUCAUUGAGCAGGGACCUAUGGUUUACAAAGGUUACUUUGGCAGCUGAGUGGAGGAUGGACCAGAAUAGGGCUAGACGGGGAGCCUAACCAAAAGGUUAUUACAAGGUCUGAAGUGAUGAGGGCCUACACCAGGGUGGUGGCAGUGCCAGAGGAGAGAAAGAGGGCAUAUAUGAGAGAUGUUAGAAGGUUAAAAUGGACUCUUCUUGUCAGCAGAUUGGUUAUAAGCUUUACCACUGCCUGGUGAAUAUCUAGCCCUACCUAUACUAUAAGUGUUUCAAACUUCACAUAUCCAGAAUGGAAUACGAUCUGUUUCUCUUCCAAAUUCCCCGAUUAGUGUCGAGGGCACCAACUUACUUCUAAUCAGCUACAUUUAGAACCUUAG
RNAcentral lists this long non-coding RNA (1245 nucleotides) under Monodelphis domestica (gray short-tailed opossum). RNAcentral's name for it is "lncRNA (ENSMODG00000043377.1)". Lineage: Eukaryota; Metazoa; Chordata; Mammalia; Didelphimorphia; Didelphidae. The record is from RNAcentral.